This 416-nucleotide ribosomal RNA is filed under the name uncultured soil bacterium. RNAcentral describes it as "bacterial SSU rRNA". It matches the Rfam family "Bacterial small subunit ribosomal RNA", at positions 26 to 457 of the family's 1533-position model. The record is from RNAcentral.
AGAACGAACGCUGGCGGCAUGCCUAAUGCAUGCAAGUCGAACGAACUCUUCGGAGUUAGUGGCGCACGGGUGCGUAACGCGUGGGAAUCUGCCCCUUGGUUCGGAAUAACAGUUGGAAACGACUGCUAAUACCGGAUGAUGACGAAAGUCCAAAGAUUUAUCGCCAAGGGAUGAGCCCGCGUAGGAUUAGCUAGUUGGUGAGGUAAAGGCUCACCAAGGCAACGAUCCUUAGCUGGUCUGAGAGGAUGAUCAGCCACACUGGGACUGAGACACGGCCCAGACUCCUACGGGAGGCAGCAGUAGGGAAUAUUAGGACAAGUGGGCACGAAGCCUGAAUCCCAAGGCCAAAGUGCCGACGGUGAGUGAUGAAGGCCUUAAGGGUUGUAAAGCUUACCGUUUUACCGAGUACUGAUUAA